CCCAGACUCCUACGGGAGGCAGCAGUGGGGGAUAUUGCACAAUGGGGGAAACCCUGAUGCAGCGACGCCGCGUGAGUGAAGAAGUAUUUCGGUAUGUAAAGCUCUAUCAGCAGGGAAGAAAAAAGACGGUACCUGACUAAGAAGCCCCGGCUAACUACGUGCCAGCAGCCGCGGUAAUACGUAGGGGGCAAGCGUUAUCCGGAUUUACUGGGUGUAAAGGGAGCGUAGACGGCAAUACAAGUCGGAAGUGAAAUACCCGGGCUCAACCUGGGAACUGCUUUGGAAACUGUAUGGCUGGAGUGCUGGAGAGGUAAGCGGAAUUCCUAGUGUAGCGGUGAAAUGCGUAGAUAUUAGGAGGAACACCAGUGGCGAAGGCGGCUUACUGGACAGUAACUGACGUUGAGGCUCGAAAGCGUGGGGAGCAAACAGGAUUAGAUACCCGCGUA
RNAcentral lists this ribosomal RNA (446 nucleotides) under uncultured bacterium. RNAcentral's name for it is "bacterial SSU rRNA". It matches the Rfam family "Bacterial small subunit ribosomal RNA", at positions 330 to 792 of the family's 1533-position model. The record is from RNAcentral.